Molecule: ribosomal RNA, 472 nt
Filed under: uncultured bacterium
Lineage: Bacteria
Description: bacterial SSU rRNA
Rfam family: Bacterial small subunit ribosomal RNA
Source: RNAcentral
ACUCCUACGGGAGGCAGCAGUGGGGAAUAUUGCACAAUGGGCGCAAGCCUGAUGCAGCCAUGCCGCGUGUAUGAAGAAGGCCUUCGGGUUGUAAAGUACUUUCAGCAGUGAGGAAGGUAUCGUAGUUAAUAGCUGCGGUAUUUGACGUUAGCUGCAGAAGAAGCACCGGCUAACUCCGUGCCAGCAGCCGCGGUAAUACGGAGGGUGCGAGCGUUAAUCGGAAUUACUGGGCGUAAAGCGCAUGCAGGUGGUUUGUUAAGUCAGAUGUGAAAGCCCGGGGCUCAACCUCGGAAUUGCAUUUGAAACUGGCAGACUAGAGUACUGUAGAGGGGGGUAGAAUUUCAGGUGUAGCGGUGAAAUGCGUAGAGAUCUGAAGGAAUACCGGUGGCGAAGGCGGCCCCCUGGACAGAUACUGACACUCAGAUGCGAAAGCGUGGGGAGCAAACAGGAUUAGAUACCCUGUAGCACAGAG